GCAGUAGAACGCUGAAGAGAGGAGCUUGCUCUUCUUGGAUGAGUUGCGAACGGGUGAGUAACGCGUAGGUAACCUGCCUUGUAGCGGGGGAUAACUAUUGGAAACGAUAGCUAAUACCGCAUAACAAUGGAUGACCCAUGUCAUUUAUUUGAAAGGGGCAAAUGCUCCACUACAAGAUGGACCUGCGUUGUAUUAGCUAGUAGGUGAGGUAACGGCUCACCUAGGCGACGAUACAUAGCCGACCUGAGAGGGUGAUCGGCCACACUGGGACUGAGACACGGCCCAGACUCCUACGGGAGGCAGCAGUAGGGAAUCUUCGGCAAUGGGGGCAACCCUGACCGAGCAACGCCGCGUGAGUGAAGAAGGUUUUCGGAUCGUAAAGCUCUGUUGUAAGUCAAGAACGAGUGUGAGAGUGGAAAGUUCACACUGUGACGGUAGCUUACCAGAAAGGGACGGCUAACUACGUGCCAGCAGCCGCGGUAAUACGUAGGUCCCGAGCGUUGUCCGGAUUUAUUGGGCGUAAAGCGAGCGCAGGCGGUUUGAUAAGUCUGAAGUUAAAGGCUGUGGCUCAACCAUAGUUCGCUUUGGAAACUGUCAAACUUGAGUGCAGAAGGGGAGAGUGGAAUUCCAUGUGUAGCGGUGAAAUGCGUAGAUAUAUGGAGGAACACCGGUGGCGAAAGCGGCUCUCUGGUCUGUAACUGACGCUGAGGCUCGAAAGCGUGGGGAGCGAACAGGAUUAGAUACCCUGGUAGUCCACGCCGUAAACGAUGAGUGCUAGGUGUUGGAUCCUUUCCGGGAUUCAGUGCCGCAGCUAACGCAUUAAGCACUCCGCCUGGGGAGUACGACCGCAAGGUUGAAACUCAAAGGAAUUGACGGGGGCCCGCACAAGCGGUGGAGCAUGUGGUUUAAUUCGAAGCAACGCGAAGAACCUUACCAGGUCUUGACAUCCCGAUGCUAUUUCUAGAGAUAGAAAGUUACUUCGGUACAUCGGUGACAGGUGGUGCAUGGUUGUCGUCAGCUCGUGUCGUGAGAUGUUGGGUUAAGUCCCGCAACGAGCGCAACCCCUAUUGUUAGUUGCCAUCAUUCAGUUGGGCACUCUAGCGAGACUGCCGGUAAUAAACCGGAGGAAGGUGGGGAUGACGUCAAAUCAUCAUGCCCCUUAUGACCUGGGCUACACACGUGCUACAAUGGUUGGUACAACGAGUUGCGAGUCGGUGACGGCAAGCUAAUCUCUUAAAGCCAAUCUCAGUUCGGAUUGUAGGCUGCAACUCGCCUACAUGAAGUCGGAAUCGCUAGUAAUCGCGGAUCAGCACGCCGCGGUGAAUACGUUCCCGGGCCUUGUACACACCGCCCGUCACACCACGAGAGUUUGUAACACCCGAAGUCGGUGAGGUAACCUUUGGAGCCAGCCGCCUAAGGUG
RNAcentral lists this ribosomal RNA (1421 nucleotides) under Streptococcus salivarius. Its description in RNAcentral is "bacterial SSU rRNA". It matches the Rfam family "Bacterial small subunit ribosomal RNA". Lineage: Bacteria; Bacillati; Bacillota; Bacilli; Lactobacillales; Streptococcaceae. The record is from RNAcentral.